Myotis myotis is the source of this 2013-nucleotide long non-coding RNA. RefSeq lists it as uncharacterized. NCBI's taxonomy places the organism in Eukaryota, Metazoa, Chordata, Mammalia, Chiroptera, Vespertilionidae. The transcript has 3 exons. The record is from RefSeq and is a predicted model, not a curated record.
AAGAAAGACAGCAAUUUUUUUCUAUCUAUUGAAGAGAUAGUCAUUUUUUUUUUUAUUUACUUAAAAUCUACUUUGGGAAGUGGGAGUAAUUUAGGUGGGUCAGCAGAAUUAUGAAAUAAAUAAUCCAAUAAUGAAGUUAAAAUCACUUACUUGUCUACACUAUUCCCAAAUGCAAAAUCUAAAAAAAAUAAUUUCUAAAUUAGUAUCUUUCAAAUGUUUACUUAGCAUUUUAAAACAAUUGAGCAGUGCUGUAGAGAAAAAGUCAAGAGCACAGGUCUCUGGUUUUUGAGCAAGAAUUUCAAUGAAUAAUUCAAUCCAUCAAAAACAAAUAAACCUUGAUACCAAACCCUACAUUGAAACUGUCUCUUAGAUAUAAUGUCUUUGGUUUGUCUUAGGUUUUGUGGCAGAUUUGUAAAUGCAAUAUACUUCUCAAAACUCUGAGGACAGAAUGCUUAAUCAAUUUAUUUAACAAUAGAAUCCAAGUGGGAAUUUUUUAUCAUUGAGAUACUGAGUCUCAAGUACAGAAACAGAUCUUUUUUUUUUUUUUUUUUUGAUAGGCACAUGCAUUUACAAAUGGAAUAAUAGACCAAAUGAGGAGAAAUAUUUAGGGCAGUUUAAACCAUUUGGAUUCUUGGCAUUAACUUCAAAGAAAUGGAAUAAACAAAUCCUAGAUCACAAGAAUCUCCAUCUUCCCUAGCCCUGGCGCUCAAAAGCUAGUCCUCAAAGCUUGGCCUUCUUCUGGUAUCUUGCAGAGACUGUCAUUGCGUUGUUUAUUCCUCUUCAGAAGACCUAGUGCCAGGCUAGAGAUGGAAUGUAGCAGCACCUGUUAGGCCACCAAAGCCCACAGUGCGAGCUCGUGCCAAUCCAUAAGCAGCAGGGAGCACGCAGCCUCUGCCUUAAGAGAGGAGCUCAUGGCAUCCUUCCCUUCACAAGUGCCAACUCAAGUCCCCCACAGAUCAGAAAGUUGAAGCAAAUUAAUGUCCAAAAUACCACUUUGACUGACUAGCAGAGACGGUGCUCAAACCCAGGGGAAUCUGACUUCAAAGCUCGGGCUCUUGCCUCUGCACUGGUUGUUCUCUAACUGUACUAUGCACAGAUCACGUGGAAGGCUAGUUAAAGCACAGCUUCCUGGGUCCCAACCUGGAGUAAUUUCUGACUUAGUAGCUCUCAUCUGGGGCAAGAAUUAGCAUUUGUAACCAAUAGUUGUUAAGUGCUGCUGCUGCAGCUGGUUUGGGGACCACACUUGGAGAACCACUGCUUUACACUAUACUCUUUUGCAUCCAGAACAUAUCCUCCAGGCAUUCCUUCUAUUCUAUGGGACAUAUAGGGAUAAAGCAACAGGUUAAAUGACACUUGGUGGAAACAAUCAUGCAAAUUACAUUGUUAUAACUGGCCUGGUCUCUUCGAAAAGUCAAAAGUUGGGGAAACAAUUUUGGAAUCCAUUCUAAAUUAAAAGAGAUUAAAGAGCCAUAAUAGCUCACUGUAAUGACGAAUCUUGACUGAAUUCUGGCUUGAAAAAGCAGCUAUGGAAGCCAUCUCAGGGCUAGGAAAAUUUGAAUAUGGAUUACAUAUUCAAUAAUACAAAUGUUACUUUUCUUAGAUGUGAUAAUGGCAUUGUGGCUCUAUAGGAUAAUGUCAUUUUAAAAUUUCCAGGCCAAAUUAGGAGUGAAAUGUCAUAAUGUCUGUGACUGAAGUAUUUAAAUGGUUCAACGAUACUUUUAUUUUUCCAGUUUACAUAAGGCAAAGUCUAAAUGGAGGUUGGUGAAUAUGGCAGAAUAUUACUAUUGAAUAUACAUGGGCAUAAACAGGUACUGUCUUGGCUGGUUUUUGCUUAAAAGGUGAUCUAGGAUUCCAUGAGGCAUCUACUUUUCCUCUGAAUGCUAUUGAUUGAAGAAUAUGAGCCUUUUUAUGGUUAAAAAUGAGAUUCCAUACCAAUUAUGGAGAAGAUUGGGGUGAAGGUGAGAAGGAAUGAAAACCCAUCACACCUCCUUAAGCUGACAAAGAAGGCAGGUG